This 252-nucleotide ribosomal RNA is filed under the name uncultured microorganism. RNAcentral's name for it is "partial 16S ribosomal RNA". It matches the Rfam family "Bacterial small subunit ribosomal RNA", at positions 524 to 776 of the family's 1533-position model. The record is from RNAcentral.
UACGUAGGUCCCGAGCGUUGUCCGGAUUUAUUGGGCGUAAAGCGAGCGCAGGUGGUUUAUUAAGUCUGGUGUAAAAGGCAGUGGCUCAACCAUUGUAUGCAUUGGAAACUGGUAGACUUGAGUGCAGGAGAGGAGAGUGGAAUUCCAUGUGUAGCGGUGAAAUGCGUAGAUAUCGGGAGGAAGGUCGGUGGCGAAGGCGGCCUCCUGGGCCUGCACUGACGCUGAGGCGCGAAAGCGUGGGGAGCAAACAGG